This 509-nucleotide ribosomal RNA is filed under the name uncultured bacterium. RNAcentral describes it as "bacterial SSU rRNA". It matches the Rfam family "Bacterial small subunit ribosomal RNA", at positions 1 to 526 of the family's 1533-position model. The record is from RNAcentral.
AUUAGAGUUUGAUCCUGGCUCAGGAUGAACGCUGGCGGCGUGCUUAACACAUGCAAGUCGAACGAUGAAGCCCAGCUUGCUGGGUGGAUUAGUGGCGAACGGGUGAGUAACACGUGAGUAACCUGCCCCUGACUCUGGGAUAAGCCCGGGAAACUGGGUCUAAUACCGGAUAUGACCAUGGGACGCAUGUCUUGUGGUGGAAAGAUUUAUCGGUUGGGGAUGGACUCGCGGCCUAUCAGCUUGUUGGUGAGGUAAUGGCUCACCAAGGCGACGACGGGUAGCCGGCCUGAGAGGGUGACCGGCCACACUGGGACUGAGACACGGCCCAGACUCCUACGGGAGGCAGCAGUGGGGAAUAUUGCACAAUGGGCGCAAGCCUGAUGCAGCGACGCCGCGUGAGGGAUGACGGCCUUCGGGUUGUAAACCUCUUUCAGUAGGGAAGAAGCGAGAGUGACGGUACCUGCAGAAGAAGCGCCGGCUAACUACGUGCCAGCAGCCGCGGUAAUAAU